This 1713-nucleotide small RNA is filed under the name Rhizobium etli. Its description in RNAcentral is "bacterial SSU rRNA". The stretch from base 1 to 605 matches the Rfam family "Bacterial small subunit ribosomal RNA", at positions 928 to 1533 of the family's 1533-position model. Lineage: Bacteria; Pseudomonadati; Pseudomonadota; Alphaproteobacteria; Hyphomicrobiales; Rhizobiaceae. The record is from RNAcentral.
AGCGGGUGGAGCAUGUGGUUUAAUUCGAAGCAACGCGCAGAACCUUACCAGCCCUUGACAUGCCCGGCUAGCUACAGAGAUGUAGUGUUCCCUUCGGGGACCGGGACACAGGUGCUGCAUGGCUGUCGUCAGCUCGUGUCGUGAGAUGUUGGGUUAAGUCCCGCAACGAGCGCAACCCUCGCCCUUAGUUGCCAGCAUUCAGUUGGGCACUCUAAGGGGACUGCCGGUGAUAAGCCGAGAGGAAGGUGGGGAUGACGUCAAGUCCUCAUGGCCCUUACGGGCUGGGCUACACACGUGCUACAAUGGUGGUGACAGUGGGCAGCGAGACAGCGAUGUCGAGCUAAUCUCCAAAAGCCAUCUCAGUUCGGAUUGCACUCUGCAACUCGAGUGCAUGAAGUUGGAAUCGCUAGUAAUCGCGGAUCAGCAUGCCGCGGUGAAUACGUUCCCGGGCCUUGUACACACCGCCCGUCACACCAUGGGAGUUGGUUUUACCCGAAGGUAGUGUGCUAACCGCAAGGAGGCAGCUAACCACGGUAGGGUCAGCGACUGGGGUGAAGUCGUAACAAGGUAGCCGUAGGGGAACCUGCGGCUGGAUCACCUCCUUUCUAAGGAAGCUGUGGAAUUGGUAAGACGACCUUCCGACAAGUCUUUGACUUGUCUCGAGGUAUGAACCUUCCCGUGCUUUUUAGAACAUAGAUGGCACCAGUCAGGUGACCAUCGCAACGCAAUACGCCGUAGACAUGCUAGCAUGCACGGUAUGGCGAGCUUUCGCCGUCCACGUUUCUCUUUCUUCAUGAAGACAAAAAACCGCGCUUGUCCAGUUGAGGCUGGGCCGGUUCCCCGAAUGGGCCCGUAGCUCAGUUGGUUAGAGCACACGCUUGAUAAGCGUGGGGUCGGAAGUUCAAGUCUUCCCGGGCCCACCAUUUGCGAUUGCGAAUGGGGGUUAGGGAAUUGAUUGGGAUGGCUGGCGCGGAUUGUUGCCGAACUUCAGUUCUGACGAAUUGGAGUGAUCGAGCUGGAGGGGCUGUAGCUCAGCUGGGAGAGCACCUGCUUUGCAAGCAGGGGGUCAGCGGUUCGAUCCCGCUCAGCUCCACCAAAUCGAUUGGUGUUGAGACUGAAUGGUUUUGAUUGGCAUUUGUCUUCUGGAGAAAAACAAGGUUUGCAUCGGCUUUUGGCGGAUGCGUGUUCUGCAUAUAUCGUGAAGAGAAGAUUGAUCUGGAGGCUUCCAGGUGUCGGGUUUUGCCCUUUUGGGUUUGAUCUGGCGUCCGAGCCCAGUUCUGAUGAAACCAUGGAUGGCCUAGCCGGCCGGAUAUGGUGGAGGGACUGGAGGUAGGAAGGAAGCUUGUCGCUCUGAGUUGAUCAUUGUUGUCGCUCCUUCGGGAUGGCUCUGAUGAUGGCUUGAUGACCGUUGCCUGACCGCGCGGUCCCGGAUUUAAUCUCGAGAAGCUGGUCUUAAAGAUAGACUGCAAGCGAGCUGCUCGGCGUAGCUCCAAUAAAGCAGAUCUAUCGAACACGUCGAUGGCAUUGUUGGAUUGACUGGGUUGUAAAAGGUAACCCGGUCUGUUGCCGUUUCCUUCGGAAACGAGCGGCGAGAUGAUGAGCAUUGGCAAUGAGAACGAUUAAGUGUCGUAAGGGCAUUUGGUGGAUGCCUUGGCAUGCACAGGCGAUGAAGGACGUGAUACGCUGCGAAAAGCCGUGGGAGCUGCGAAUAAG